UACGUAGGGGGCAAGCGUUGUCCGGAUUUAUUGGGCGUAAAGAGCGUGUAGGCGGCCAUGCAGGUCAGCUGUGAAAACUCGAGGCUCAACCUCGAGACGUCGGUUGAAACCACCUGGCUAGAGUCCGGAAGAGGAGAGUGGAAUUCCUGGUGUAGCGGUGAAAUGCGCAGAUAUCAGGAAGAACACCCGUGGCGAAGGCGGCUCUCUGGGACGGUACUGACGCUGAGACGCGAAAGCGUGGGGAGCGAACAGG
Molecule: ribosomal RNA, 253 nt
Filed under: uncultured bacterium
Lineage: Bacteria
Description: partial 16S ribosomal RNA
Rfam family: Bacterial small subunit ribosomal RNA
Source: RNAcentral